AACAGCGGAGAGUUUGAUCCUGGCUCAGGAUGAACGCUAGCGACAGGCUUAACACAUGCAAGUCGAGGGGCAGCGGUGGUGAAGGCUUGCCUUCACCAGCCGGCGACCGGCGCACGGGUGAGUAACACGUAUGCAACCUGCCUGCCACAGCCGGAUAAUCGGGAGAAAUCCCGUCUAAUACGGCAUAAUGCAUCGACGGGACAUCCUGUUGGUGCCAAAGGUUAAUUCCGGUGGCGGAUGGGCAUGCGUCGCAUUAGUUAGUUGGCGGUGUAACGGACCACCAAGACGACGAUGCGUAGGGGUUCUGAGAGGAAGGUCCCCCACACUGGUACUGAGACACGGACCAGACUCCUACGGGAGGCAGCAGUGAGGAAUAUUGGUCAAUGGGCGGGAGCCUGAACCAGCCAAGUCGCGUGAGGGAUGACGGCCCUAUGGGUUGUAAACCUCUUUUGCCGGGGAGCAAAGUGCCGCACGUGUGCGGUUUGGAGAGUACCCGGAGAAAAAGCAUCGGCUAACUCCGUGCCAGCAGCCGCGGUAAUACGGAGGAUGCGAGCGUUAUCCGGAUUUAUUGGGUUUAAAGGGUGCGUAGGCGGACGCUUAAGUCAGCGGUAAAAUUGCGGGGCUCAACCUCGUCGAGCCGUUGAAACUGGGUGCCUUGAGUGGGCGAGAAGUACGCGGAAUGCGUGGUGUAGCGGUGAAAUGCAUAGAUAUCACGCAGAACUCCGAUUGCGAAGGCAGCGUACCGGCGCCCAACUGACGCUGAAGCACGAAGGCGUGGGUAUCGAACAGGAUUAGAUACCCUGGUAGUCCACGCAGUAAACGAUGAAUGCUAGUUGUCCGGGGCGAUUGAGUUCUGGGUGACACAGCGAAAGCGUUAAGCAUUCCACCUGGGGAGUACGCCGGCAACGGUGAAACUCAAAGGAAUUGACGGGGGCCCGCACAAGCGGAGGAACAUGUGGUUUAAUUCGAUGAUACGCGAGGAACCUUACCCGGGCUCAAACGCAGGAGGGAUGUUUUUGAAAGGAGGCAGCCAGCAAUGGUCUCCUGCGAGGUGCUGCAUGGUUGUCGUCAGCUCGUGCCGUGAGGUGUCGGCUUAAGUGCCAUAACGAGCGCAACCCCUACCUACAGUUGCCAUCGCGUGAUGGCGGGCACUCUGUGGGGACUGCCUGCGCAAGCAGUGAGGAAGGCGGGGAUGACGUCAAAUCAGCACGGCCCUUACGUCCGGGGCGACACACGUGUUACAAUGGCAGGUACAGCGGGAAGCCACCCGGCGACGGGGCGCGGAACCCGAAAACCUGUCUCAGUUCGGAUUGGAGUCUGCAACCCGACUCCAUGAAGCUGGAUUCGCUAGUAAUCGCGCAUCAGCCACGGCGCGGUGAAUACGUUCCCGGGCCUUGUACACACCGCCCGUCAAGCCAUGGAAGCCGGGGGUGCCUGAAGUGCGUGACCGCAAGGAGCGCCCUAGGGUAAAACCGGUGACUGGGGCUAAGUCGUAACAAGGUAGCCGUACCGGAAGGUGCGGCUGGAACACCUCCUUUCU
RNAcentral lists this ribosomal RNA (1540 nucleotides) under Paramuribaculum intestinale. RNAcentral's name for it is "16S ribosomal RNA". It matches the Rfam family "Bacterial small subunit ribosomal RNA". Lineage: Bacteria; Pseudomonadati; Bacteroidota; Bacteroidia; Bacteroidales; Muribaculaceae. The record is from RNAcentral. RNAcentral also lists the same sequence under 1 other name.